Long non-coding RNA from Oreochromis niloticus (Nile tilapia), 644 nucleotides. RefSeq lists it as uncharacterized. The record is from RefSeq and is a predicted model, not a curated record. The transcript has 6 exons. NCBI's taxonomy places the organism in Eukaryota, Metazoa, Chordata, Actinopteri, Cichliformes, Cichlidae.
GUGAAUUCUGACAGUGAGAGGAACGGCCGGAUACAGGAGACGGGAAGAAACAAGCCGAUUAUAUUCGCUUUAAUUAAGUGGUUGGAAGAUGUAAAAUUCUCAAUUCUGCCAACUGAACAUAUACGAGAUUUUAAUGAGGAUGAAUAAUUAGCCGGCAUGGAGGAAACGGACCUUUAUUUGGUGGAGUGGCAACAAGAAGCCACAAGGCGGGUGGCCGGUCUAUGAAGCCUCCAUCAUCAAGCUAGCAGAAAUCCCACCUGUCCUUCUGGCUACAGAGUACUUACCAAGCCCAUGAAAUCGAAUGCAGAUCUUCCUGAUGUGAGAUUUACAUAAAUAUGUCAAAGUCUCAACCUCAUGCUGCCCUCCCCCAUAAACCUGUGGAUACAAAUGCAGAUUUCCUUAAUGUUCAAUGGUGCGUGUUCUUCUAAUGGCUGCCUUCCCACUGGAGGUUUUGAUCCACAGCAAUUUAAAAGGUAAACAGCUUUGAAAGUCAGUUCAAAUGGUUAGCUAAUAGUAUUCUAAAAAGCCUACAACUCUGUCACCAGUUUCUUUACCAAAAAGUACCCAUAAAAGUAUAUCGCAUAUCAUUGUAGUUCAAAUGUUUAGUUGUACAAAUAUCAGAUUUUUGGAAAUCUAAAACUAGU